AGAGCGAACGCUGGCGGCAGGCUUAACACAUGCAAGUCGAGCGGAUGUAGCAAUACAUCAGCGGCAGACGGGUGAGUAACACGUGGGAACGUACCUUUUGGUUCGGAACAACACAGGGAAACUUGUGCUAAUACCGGAUAAGCCCUUACGGGGAAAGAUUUAUCGCCGAAAGAUCGGCCCGCGUCUGAUUAGCUAGUUGGUGAGGUAAUGGCUCACCAAGGCGACGAUCAGUAGCUGGUCUGAGAGGAUGAUCAGCCACAUUGGGACUGAGACACGGCCCAAACUCCUACGGGAGGCAGCAGUGGGGAAUAUUGGACAAUGGGCGCAAGCCUGAUCCAGCCAUGCCGCGUGAGUGAUGAAGGCCCUAGGGUUGUAAAGCUCUUUCGCUCGGGACGAUAAUGACGGUACCGAGAUAAGAAGCCCGGCUAACUUCGCGCCAGCAGCCGC
RNAcentral lists this ribosomal RNA (447 nucleotides) under uncultured bacterium. Its description in RNAcentral is "SSU rRNA". It matches the Rfam family "Bacterial small subunit ribosomal RNA", at positions 26 to 518 of the family's 1533-position model. The record is from RNAcentral.